GAUGAACGCUGGCGGCGUGCCUAAUACAUGCAAGUCGAGCGAACGGACGAGAAGCUUGCUUCUCUGAUGUUAGCGGCGGACGGGUGAGUAACACGUGGAUAACCUACCUAUAAGACUGGGAUAACUUCGGGAAACCGGAGCUAAUACCGGAUAAUAUUUUGAACCGCAUGGUUCAAAGGUGAAAGACGGUCUUGCUGUCACUUAUAGAUGGAUCCGCGCUGCAUUAGCUAGUUGGUAAGGUAACGGCUUACCAAGGCAACGAUGCAUAGCCGACCUGAGAGGGUGAUCGGCCACACUGGAACUGAGACACGGUCCAGACUCCUACGGGAGGCAGCAGUAGGGAAUCCUCCGCAAUGGGCGGAAGCCUGACGGAGCAACGCCGCGUGAGUGAUGAAGGUCUUCGGAUCGUAAAACUCUGUUAUUAGGGAAGAACAUAUGUGUAAGUAACUGUGCACAUCUUGACGGUACCUAAUCAGAAAGCCACGGCUAACUACGUG
Molecule: ribosomal RNA, 497 nt
Filed under: uncultured bacterium
Lineage: Bacteria
Description: partial 16S ribosomal RNA
Rfam family: Bacterial small subunit ribosomal RNA
Source: RNAcentral